Molecule: long non-coding RNA, 3701 nt
Organism: Mus musculus (house mouse)
Lineage: Eukaryota; Metazoa; Chordata; Mammalia; Rodentia; Muridae
Product: predicted gene, 32740
Exons: 5
Source: RefSeq, a predicted model, not a curated record
UACAUUAUACGAAAUUUUUCAAGAUUAAAUUUUUUUAAGGGCGGUGACACAACAGGAAGCAGCAGAAAGGGAGGAUCCAGCCUUUGAAAUUUGGCAUUCUUCAUACCUAAGGAGAAGCACACUGGCUCCAGACUUCUGAAGCAGUGUCAUAAGGCAAUGGAGCUAUCCAGCCUUUUAGACACAGGGCCCUCAGACAGAAGCAGCAGAGUGCCUACACAUUCUUACACCGAUCACAAACCAUCCACCAAGGCUGGCUUCUGGGGCAAUGAAGGGCCAGAUAUGAGUUUCCACGUGUUCCCAGAUAAUACCCAGAUAAGUUCUUUAGCUGGCCAGGGGAGAAAGUGUGCGUAACAGAUCAGAUCUUCCUGCCUGGUGGUAGACAGUUUCCCUGACAGCUCAAUUCUUUCUGCCUGGUGUAGACUAGUGGGAAUGCUGGUAUAAGCUCUCUACCCUGACUUUGCUCUCACCGAAUCCCUCACUGCUUCUCCCCACACAGUCCACACAUGUCACCAGAUGGGUGAAUUACAACUCACAUCCACAUGUGAAUUCCUGAUACAGCACACUCUGUGAGCAGGAUCCUCUCUGGGAUUCAGCACGGGCUGGACCUGUGGAUAACCUGACUUCACCAAAGCACAACCAAUCAGUAGAGAGAACACCAUCCGCCAGGCCUGCUGUGUGGACAUCACACACAUGAUCUACCCCUACAGACAUCCUAUAUGAUGUCUAAUAUAGUUCUCAGUUUACAGGUGAUGUCAAGGAACCUGAAUAAUGGCUGGUAAGUGGUUGAGUUAAGACUCAAGUCUGUACUUUCUGAUUUCCAGCUGAGUGGUUAGGUACCCAAUGAGUCUCCCCAGGACUCUUGUUUACAGUUCACAUACAGAGCACACUGGGGUGAAGACAGUCAAGGGAUCUCUGGAUGAAUGACCUCAAAAAUCUUACUGUCAUAUUGCCUACGUAGCAGGCAAAGGCUCUUGUGUCCCUUGACCCUUACCAGGCUUCUGAGGAACACAGGAUCACCUUGUCAAUGCUCAGAGGGCAUGGACAUUUGUGGAGGUGAGGCAGCUUGCACAGGUCAGGUCGGGAGCAGGCAUGAGGAAGAUCUCUCUCUCCCAGUCAGGUCCUCUACUUCUGAACCGUUCUCAAUCAAUGACUUUGAGGAACACUGCGAACCUUUUUCUCACAUUGGCACAGCCUGUGCCUUCCAGAGCAUGUGGCCUAACAGAGAUGCUCUGACUUGAUGAGACCAAAGUGAGUGGCCUCAGAUCAGCCACGUGCCUCCCUCCCUCUUUUGUCUGAUUCUAUAAUAAAGUUCACUGCUUGCUUAAGGCUGCCUUGGCUUAGACAUUUCUCGAGCUGCUUCACUUCACACCAAUUCUGCCAGGCAGUCGGGUCACAGUCCUCUGCCUCAUUUGACAGGUAAGCAUGGGGGACAGAAAGCUUUGAUAGCUAUGCCUAAUACCAAGCUACCCCUCAGCAAGAGAUUUCACUCUUCCUGACACCGAAUCGCCUGCAGUGAUCUGACCAAGGCCUUCAAUGGGACUCAGUUUACCCAUCGAGAAGCAAAGAUACUGACUGACCUUCACUACCAAUAGUGUCUGGGUUCUCAGACAGCUUCACGCUGACUUCCUUUCGACGCUGAACCGCUGGAGGACACCCCUGGGAGGCUUGCCUCUUAUUUGUCGUUUUAGCUUUAAGUUGAGAAACGGCUUCAAAACCUGAAAACCCAAGGAUAAACCAGUAGAACUUGACAGGGCAAACUCCUCUUUACAGAUGGAGUAUCUCCCAAGCACAACCUGCUGAGAGUAAUCCCACCUGUCAUUGAAACUUGCCAGGGGAGGGGCGGGGUUGUCCCUGUGGGGCCCUCACGGGAGCCCUUGUGGGAGCUGUACUUCUGGACUUUUCUCAUUAACUCCUCACAGGUGCGCCAGCCCCUGCAUAAUGUGGCUGUGUCAGGCAGGCCCAUCAGGGACCCACAGCUGGUCAAAGAAAUGGGAUUCCAAAGCCAAGCCAGGAGACAUUCAUCUUCCAGAAAGUUAAAUAAGGAUGGCUGGCUAGAGAUGGAGAUGGGAUGAGCAGAGCCUCCUGUUUGUUAGAGUUACCUGGGUAAACCCCCAAGCGCGGUGGCUGGGAGCAUCCCCAGGAGGCAGCAGAUGCCAGCCAGCAGCAGCCUGCACAUGCGCGUGGCCUGCUCUGUGAAGCUGCUAUGGAGAUGAGGUCUUAUAGCCUCUGUUCAUAAGGUGGAGAGCCAAGUGGCAGCCUGAAUUUGAAGAGCUGAGAAUCAAGGAAGGCAAUGGAACUCUCAACUCGGCACCAAAGGCUUCAGACCUGGGGAUGACAUUUGAGGCCCCUCCAGUCCUGAGCAGCGAGAUAAACAACCCAGCAGCGCUCUCAGCCUCAGCGGGGAGGUACGGUGAUGUGUGGCCUGGAUGUAGCUAUGACUCAGUGCUUCCCCGAGCUUUUUCAUCAUUGGACAGGAAGCAAACCGCCUCAUCCUUCUGCAGCCUCAACCCGGCUUGACUUCAAAUGACAUUAAAAAGAAACCGAAUCCCUGGAGGUUUCUAGAAGGUCAGAAGUAGAACUCAAAGGCAGAAGCAAAGAGGAUCAGAAGAGUGACGGCCCAUCACCUGAGGGCCUCCGUGAGAAGGGAGACUCCAGGGAGUCUCUGCUGACUGCCCUCCCAGGGCUAGCAGCCAUUGGCCCCAAGAUCUCCAAGACAGUGGCUUUGCAGCCCCAUGGCAAUCUCCAGGCCCUUCCCCCAAAGAAGGGUUCAAAUCCAGUCAGCUACCUCAGCCAAAUCCCACUAUCCAGAUGUUUUUUUUUUAGGGAGAUAGAUGGCAAACCUUCAGCAGUUGCUUCAUGGAGAAUGGAAUGCCCUCCAGACCCCAACUGCAGACCGUUACAGCCCAACAGACAUGACGUCAUUUAAAAGGUGUUUGAGUUUGAGCAUGUUUUCCUAAUGUGUUUUAGAGCACCCAUAAGUGGUUAAUAAAAGUUAUAUAUGUAGAUUAUUAUCUAAAAAUAUACUCUAUGAAACUCCUUUGAAGGCAAGAGCUUAUGGAUAGUAUUCUAGAUUGCUAGGGCUUUAAAAAAAAAUAAGCAUGUUGGUCUGAGUCUCUCAACCCAUGAAGAAAAACAUUCCUUUCCCUGUGCUAUCUUCCUGUUUGCACACUUGGGAUAGGACCCCAACGCCUAGAUUAGCUGGUCAAUCGCUGUCCUGACCAGAGACGCUCAUGCUGAUAGCAACCUCGAUUUUAAGUCUUUGGGUAAGCCCUCUGUUGGCCUCUCCAUCGUGUUUUUCAAAACUUUAGGGGAAAUAGUUAAGAGAUCCAAAUAGGACCACAGGUCACUUCUAAUCUAUUAGUGAAGGCUCCCUAAACGAGUCAGUCUGCCAGUCAACUGAGUUUGAGAAACACAGUGAACGAGAGUUUUCAACAGAAUUAUAUCAGAAUUAUUAGUGUUUAUGCUCAUGUGUCUCACAGGAAGAAAACCCAGGCCAAACAUCUUCCAUAAAUUCUUGUCAAGGAUGCCUGUACUCCCAGACGGCUUACCAAGUAGCCUUUAUGUAACCAGCGCUGCUCACAACACAGUGAAAUUCUGGCCACAAGAGCAGUCUAAAGAACCAGUUUGGACUUUGUUGUUGUUGUUGUUGUUGUUUGUUUGGUUUGUUUUAUUUUUGCCUGUUUUUAUUUUUUAAGACAAGA